GACGAACGCUGGCGGCGUGCUUAACACAUGCAAGUCGAACGGAAAGGCCCUGCUUUUGUGGGGUGCUCGAGUGGCGAACGGGUGAGUAACACGUGAGUAACCUGCCCUGGACUUUGGGAUAACUUCAGGAAACUGGGGCUAAUACCGGAUAGGAGCUCCUGCUGCAGGGUGGGGGUUGGAAAGUUUCGGCGGUUGGGGAUGGACGCGCGGCUUAUCAGCUUGUUGGUGGGGGAGUGGCUUACCAAGCCUUUGGCGGGUAGCCGGCCUGGGAGGGUGACCGGCCACACUGGGACUGAGGUACGGCCCAGACUCCUACGGGAGGCAGCAGUGGGGAAUAUUGCACAAUGGGCGGCAGCCUGAUGCAGCAGCGCCGCGUGCGGGAUGGCCGUCUUCGGGUUGUAAACCGCUUUCGCCUGUGGCGAAGCGUGAGUGACGGUAAUGGGUAAAGAAGCACCGGCUAACUACGUG
RNAcentral lists this ribosomal RNA (468 nucleotides) under uncultured bacterium. RNAcentral's name for it is "partial 16S ribosomal RNA". It matches the Rfam family "Bacterial small subunit ribosomal RNA", at positions 28 to 507 of the family's 1533-position model. The record is from RNAcentral.